This 953-nucleotide unclassified non-coding RNA is filed under the name uncultured bacterium. RNAcentral describes it as "partial contains 16S ribosomal RNA, 16S-23S ribosomal RNA intergenic spacer, and 23S ribosomal RNA". The stretch from base 316 to 388 matches the Rfam family "tRNA". The record is from RNAcentral.
UCUAAGGAGCACUCUUUCCCAAUUUAGAUAGGGAUUGAGAGGUCGACGGCUAAGUCAAUCGGCAAAAGGGAAUAAUGGGGAUUGAUUGAUAUGCUGUAAAGACCUGGUGGAGCGAAAGGCUGCCAGGCUCAAAAGACUGAAACGAUAGCGCACAACUCAGUUUUUGCUGAUCAUCGCGAGACCGGACAGAGACAACGAAACGUCGACCCGGCUUAAAACGGACUAAUCUCACCCUGGAGCGCCGCGCGCGCAACGCGGGCGGAGCUUUGUUGGUUGACGCCGUUGAUCCGGCGCCCGCCCGGACUGAAAAUUUCCGGGGGUAUAGCUCAGUUGGUAGAGCGGUAGCUUUGCAAGCUAUAGGUCAGGGGUUCGAAUCCCCUUACCUCCAAACUUCGCUCUCUUGCCUUGGCAGAGAACUUUGUUUGGCAAGUCCGAGCUUUGAAGCACCUGAACUGUGUCCGGGCCCAGCUCCCUAAGCUUGGAAGCGACGGGAGCGUUUUAAACCUGUGGGAACCUGACUCCGGGCCUGUAGCUCAGUUGGUUAGAGCAUGCGCUUGAUAAGCGCAGGGUCACUGGUUCGAGCCCAGUCAGGCCCAGACUUUAUCCCGGUUCAGACCGGGGUCGUGUCUGGUAAGAUUGAAAGCAAGACCGGACAGGCGAAUCGCCGCGAUGCGAAAGCAAAACACACCAUUUUGACGUUUGGUAAGAGUUAAAACUUGAGCCAGACCCUUUUACCGCAAUAAGCGGAAAAGCGUUCUUUGACAUCUGCAUAUAGGGUAGAAAAUACAACUUUGGAGAAUGAAAUGGAGGUUCGCCUUCAUUUCGACAGAUAUCAAAAUAAUCAAGCUACUAAGGGCGUAUGAUGAAUGCCUUGGUGCCAAUAGGCUAUGAAGGACGUGGUAAGCUGCGAUAAGCUACGGAUAGCCGGCAAACACGCUUUGACCCGUAGAUUU